UCCUCCUCUGCUCAGGCGGGCCACGGUGAGGCGGCCAUUUUGCGGCAGGUUCCGUGUGCCGGCGGUAGCAGCAGCAGCAGCUCGUUGCCCUUCUUCGCGUACUCACCGCUCACACAUGGCCGAAUACUCCGCAGUGGCGCCGCCUAAUGCGCUAACGGCUGGCGGAGGAGGAGCAGGUGGUGGUGGAGGUGCCGGUGGAGCUGGAGGAGGCGCCGGUGGUGGUGGAGGAAGCGGCGCUGGAGGAGGAGGUGGCGGCGGCGGCGCGGGUGCCGGUGUAGCCGGGGGUGCAGGAGGAGGAGGGCCCGGCGCCGCUGGUGGAGGAGGAGGCGGCUUCAAAAACGAUGCCUUCGCCGACGCCCUACAAAGGGCGAGGCAGAUUGCAGCAAAAAUUGGUGGAGAUACAGGAACAACAGCAAUAAAUACAUCUGACUAUGGAUAUGGAGGACAGAAAAGACCCUUGGAAGAUGGGGAUCAACCAGAUACUAAGAAAGUUGCUCAGAAUGACCCAUUUGGAACACAGCUAGCUGCAAUGCAUCAACAGCGGUCAAUUGCGACAGAGGAAUACAAGGUUCCUGACAGCAUGGUUGGAUUUAUUAUUGGUAGAGGAGGAGAGCAGAUUUCACGCAUACAACAAGAGUCUGGGUGCAAAGUACAGAUUGCACCUGACAGUGGUGGUUUACCAGAAAGGUCUUGCAUGUUGACAGGCAGCCCUGAUUCUAUUAUAGCUGCAAAGAGACUGCUUGAUCAGAUAGUUGAAAGGGGCCGAAUUGGUCCUGGUACACACCACGGUGAUGGAGCAGGUACUUCUGUGCAGGAGAUCAUGAUUCCUGCAAGCAAGGCUGGGCUUGUUAUUGGAAAAGGCGGAGAAACAAUCAAGCAAUUACAGGAACGUGCUGGAGUGAAGAUGGUGAUGAUUCAAGAUGGACCUCAGCCAACAGGAUCAGAUAAACCUCUUCGAAUUACAGGAGAUCCAUACAAAGUACAGCAAGCCAAGGACAUGGUGAUGGAUUUAAUUCGUGACAGAGACCAAGGUUUUAGAGAGCAGCGUAACGAAUAUGGAUCUCGUGUGGGAGGGUCUAAUGAAACAUUGGAUGUCCCUGUGCCUCGAUUUGCUGUUGGUAUUGUAAUAGGGAGAAGUGGAGAAAUGAUAAAGAAGAUACAGAACGAUGCAGGAGUAAGGAUUCAGUUCAAGCCAGAUGAUGGGACAACUCCAGAAAGAAUAGCUCAGAUCCUGGGCCCUCCAGACAGAUGUCAGCAUGCUGCAGAGAUACUAAGAGACCUCCUACGAAGUGUGGAGGCUGGCAUGCCUCCUGGUGGUAGUGGUCCUGGUCCUGGCAGAGGAAGAGGCAGAGGACAAGGGAACUGGAAUAUGCCCCCACCAGGUGGUCUACAGGAGUUCACUUUCACAGUACCAAGCAGUAAGACUGGCAUAAUCAUUGGCAAAGGAGGGGAGACUGUUAAAUCCAUUAGUCAGCAAUCAGGAGCACGAAUAGAGCUCCAGAGAAACCCACCUCCAAAUGCUGAUCCCAACUUCAAAAUGUUUAUUAUUCGUGGAUCAACUCAGCAGAUUGACUAUGCCAGGCAACUUAUUGAAGAGAAGAUUGGGGCUCCUACUGGUCCUCCUGGGCCACCUGGUCCUCAUGGUCCCCAUGGACCCCAUGGCCCACCUGCCCCUCAUGGGCCCCCGGGCCCCCCAGGUCCUGGAGCUCCUAUGGGACCCUAUAACCCAGGACCCUAUAAUCCAGGCCCUCCUGGCCCACCUCAACAUGGACCACCAGCACCUUACGCUCCACAAGGAUGGGGGAAUGCCUAUCAACCCUGGCAACAGCAGGGUCCACCAGAUCCAAGUAAAGCUGGAGAUGCAAAUACUGCUGCGUGGGCAGCAUAUUACGCUCAGUAUUAUCAGCAACAAGCACAACAGCCUCCUGCCGCUCCAAGUACUGGUCCAAGCAAUACCCCAAAUUCUGCACCUGCAGGUGAUCCAAACCAGCCAACUGCUCCUCCAAAUCCUCAGACGGAUUAUACCAAGGCCUGGGAAGAAUAUUACAAGAAAUUAGGUCAGCAGGGACAACCACAAGGCCCCCAGCAAGAUUACACCAAAGCUUGGGAGGAAUACUACAAGAAGCAGAGUCAGGCAGCCCAAGCCUCUAGUACAGCAGCUCAACCAAGCGGACAGCCUGACUACAGCGCUGCAUGGGCUGAGUACUACAGACAGCAAGCGGCUUAUUACAGUCAGACAAACUCCCAGCCGAUGCCCCAGCACCCACCAGCACAGCAACCCCCACAGGCAUUAAUCAAACCCCUUCUUGAGCCACAAAGAACGUUCAGUAGCCCAGCUGUUGGGGACUGCUCAUUUUAGGUAUGGAGAAUCGAAUGAGUACUAUGACCAAGAACCACAAGACAUCUGCAGGUUUAUCCUGAAUAUUAUAGACCUAAGCACUUCUGACAGUGUGACCUUGCAGACAAAAUCCAGGCCAAAUUGAAUUAGUCAUGACAAAAUCUUCACCGGGAUUACACGUGCCUGUUCAAAAGUUUGGAUGAUCCAGACUCCUUAACAUUGGUCAGCAACAGUCCCGGAUCCCAAGGUGAGGAUGACCAUCUCCUCCCACGGUCUAUCAGAAUUGUAACAUUUAUUUUGGUGGCUCUGGAUAUCUGCCAUUGACUGCCAGUGAUCUGAUUUUAUUUCCAAUUGCAUGUAGUUUGUGAUUCUGUGCCAAAUAUAUAAUAUUUUGUACAUUUGCCAGCUGGCUGUGAUCUCAUUAAAAAAAAAUUGAUGCUAUAUUUUUUGAACAAUGCCAAUAGAAUAAUAGUUCAAGUCAUAGAACACUACAGCAUAGAAACAGGCCAUUCUGCCCAUCUAGUGCCAUCAACCUGCAACUAGACCAUAGCCCUCCAUGCUCCUCCCAUCUGCCUAUCCAAAUUUUUUAGUCUUGAAAUUGAACCCACAUCCACCACUUCCACUGGCAACUUGUUCCACACUCACCAUCAUCUGCAUGAAGAAAUUCCCCCUCAUUUUCCCCUUAAAUAGUUCAUCUUUCACCCAUAAGCCAUGACAUCUGGUUUUAGUUUCGCCCAACCUCAGUGGAAAAAGCCUGCUAUACCCUAUGUAUAUUUCUGUGAAGGGAAUAUUUAGCCUCUGUGGGUGUUUUUAUUGCAAAAUACAGUAAUGUUAGUAUAUCUACCAAUUGUAAUAUUCAUUGAACUUGAAUGCACAAGAAAAAUGCAUCUAAGGUUUCUGUACCUGUGAGAACAGUUUAAAUUCUGGACUGACUGCUCCUCCCUCUUUGGCAACUGUUUGUUAGGACAGGGUAUCAAGGAAGUUAUCACACUUCUAAUGGGAGGCAUUUGCUCCUCUUUCAGCUUCCCCUCUUGCUCCCAUAGUAUGUUCAUUUCUCCCUUUUAAAUUCUGAGAUUUGUGCUUGAGGCAAACAACCCCGAUUGUUAAAUUGGCCUGCCUUUUAUUUCUGAUGGAGCAAAUUAGCCCCUUCCAAUUUUUCAUAAAUUUGCAAAGCUGUUUUGAGAAGUUAGUCAAGGGAUUGGUGAGAAUGUAAGCUCAUUAAAUGAGUUUUUAAUUAGAUGAAACAAUUUGAGGUUUUAGUAUCCUUACUGUUUCAUGAAAAGUGGGAUGGUUAUUGGGCAAAGUUAGUGCACGUACUGAGUAUUGAUAUAGCCAUAAAACAUGUUGAGAACAUGCAUCUCCGAGUUUUUUUGUGUUGCGGUGUAUUUAUCUUGUUCACGGUAAACACGAUAAAUUUGUCAUUGGAGUUUAAUCUUUCUGUAGAGCAUGUAAUGAAGCCUCGCCUGUAUCAAUUGAUAUGGUAGUUUUGAUAGUAUUGAAGCAAUCACUUGAAUAGAGUUGAUCUUUCAUAGCUUUUUGCCAUAUAUAACCAAUGCAUGCAAUGUUUUAGGUAUUUAGACAGCAGCAAUAAAUGCUGAAUAUACUUACCUGAAUGAGUAAAGCACCCUCUCCUUUAAAGCAGAACUCCAUAAACCAGUUCCAUACAUCUUGCAUUGCAACUGAAUGCCAAAGUUAUUAUAAUGCUCACUUUAUAAGAAAGUGUUUCAAAUGGAGGCUUUUGGUAUAGUUUUCUUGUACCAUGUGAAGUCGCAACUCAUUGCAAAUGAAGUGCAAUUUUUAUACUUCACAGUGUCACCCAGACCUUGAACCUUAAGUUCUGCUGCAGUACACUGAAAGGUAAGCAAGAACAAAGGCACAUUCUUACAGGGUUGAAAAGAUUUUAACCAGUUGUUGGCCCUCUGUUGUUGCACUAUUCUGAUGAAACUCCUCAUUCCUUUACAGUACAAGAAUGCAAUUACAUGUUAGUCUGAUAGCCAAAUGUGAUGUAAUUCUAAUAUAUAAAUUUAUGUGGGUUAAAAGCAUAAAGGGCUAUGAAUAUGCAAUUAUGUACAAGACUAGAAAUGUCAGCAUCUGAAAGAGAUUCGUUCAGGUUUUGAGCCUGUAGCUGAAGCAUUUUUAUCUGUCUUUGCAAUGCCAUCACAUUUGCCUUGCUGUUUUAAGUUUUUGAUUUUGGAAGAAGUAGGAAUCUGUACAUGGAUAAAGUGUUCAGUGUGCAAUUGGCAGCUCCAAUUUUUAUGAGAGUAUUUAGAAAUUACUAACAUAACUUUUUGAUAGGAACUUAAGUCAUAAAACUACUGUCCAUUCUGAAGGCUGUUUAUUCAAAUUUCAUUAUAUAUUAGGUGUCUGCAUCACUACCGUUGCUAUGCUUUUAUUCUAAAUCUAUAAUUAGAAUGUGAAUCAGUUGCGAAGACUUUGUUGUAUUUCUUUAAUAACACAUAUUGGCAAGAGGGAUCGGGGGAGUUAAGAAGAGUUUAUAUAAACCUAUUCAGUUUGUAUGUUUUGUAGGAAAAGCUGUAUGCUUUGCUAUGGAUAUUCCAUAUUGUCUUAUUUUAUUUAACCCUCUUCCACUCUGGAUGAAAAAUGCUAUUGGUUAUUUCACCUUCAUUUCCCAAAUAUCAUCCCUUUCAGUAUUGCUUAAGAGGUCUGCAGAGUGAGACUUGCUGUUUCUGCAUUGAAACCUUUUGAGAAAUAACCUGGAGAUUAGGUUAAAAUAUCAGCAGUUUACACUGCACUAAUCUCAGGCACGUAAUUGUAUGUUAAGGUCAGGUAUGCUGUUAUUUUGCUAUGUUUUUAAUGGUGAUUCACCGUUCACUGCGGGCUUGUGAGUUUACAGUAUUUUGGUGACAUGCUUAGAAAUCGUGAUCAAAUGGGUGAAUCUUCUUGAUUGCAAUUUAUUUUAGGGGAUUAAAUAUGCCAGAUGUUAUUACCUUUGUAUUUUAAUCAAAAAGUCUUCGUGAUAUUGUCUAAAAGCCAGUCUGCUCAUCUCUUGGCAAUUCUUUUCCCCUCAAAGUACGCAUAGACGGUGCCUUCGUUCUUGCACAGUACUGAAGAGCUAGCUGGCAGCACCCGAUUCAUAGGUCAUAGCAGCAGGCCCUGAAAUAGUUUCUACCCUUAUGGAGGAUUCCUUUGAGUUCAUCCUGUUGAACUGAUGAACAUAAAAACAUUCAAGGGCUCUCUGUAUAAGGUAAUGUUUAUUUGAGGGAAACAUCAUUCAUUUGUGUGCAAGUUUAUUACGCACAAACUGUGAUAUUCUGAUCAGACAUGUUCUCUGGCAUAUGAACCUGUUUCUGCUCCCAUGUUUCAGUCAUAGGCACAUGUUAAACUAAAUCCACUUUUUCCUGCAGGCUGAAACUAUUUUAAAUUACAUAGUUCAGUCAAAUUUAAUACAUCUAGAGUUUUACAAAUUUUAAGUCGUCAGUAUAUUAUUACAAGACCAGUUUAGAAUUGCAAGACUUUUUAUGUAUGUUUUUUUUUUGGCUUGUUUUUCCUCUGGUUAUUUUGUUUUUACUUUGGUCUUUCUUCGAUGCUUCUACAAAGUAUAAAUUUAAAUUACUGAAUUAAAAUGAACAUAUCAAAUUUAUAUGCAUUUUAAUUUGAAAGUAGGUUUUAAGUUGUAUAGAGUAGAAAUACAGAAAUAGAAUAAACAGUUUAAUUGUUAUCUUGGCAGUUUAUUUAAUGAUGCAAUGUAAAUAUAGGAAUCUGCAAUAAGUUAGGAAAAAUGGAUGCAGCUUGUAUAAAUGAGCACAUUGAACUUUUUACAUUUGAGGACUUGCUUACUUGAACAGUUUACACAUUUUUGUUUGUCUCAAAAAUGUUUAGUCUUGAUUCUAAGAAAAUCUGCAGAAGAGAUCUUCUGCCUUUAUUACUGUACACAGUUGGUUAGAUUCUGUAGUGAAUGUCAUUUAACCCAAUAGUGUUUUAUAUUAGGCAGCAACUGUAAGAGAAUUUAGAGGAAUGAAGUACCUGGAUUUCACUGCAAAUUUUUGCUGUUGUUCCUGAUUGUACUUUAUUAUUGGUACACUGUUAGAUAGGUUUUCUGCAUAUUUCUUUUGCAUUUUUUUUUAAAACAUUUUUGAGAUGGAUUAGAUACUAUCUCGAAGAAAAAAAAUCUUCAGAAAAUGUGCAUUGCUGGAGAAGACUACUAAGCAAAUAAAGGGCUUGCUGUGGUUGGAGGAAGGGAUAUACAGAUUUGGAGCUGAACAGUAAGGUAACUUCUCAUCUGACAAAGCUGUUUGAGAAUGAUACAGAUAUAUUGACAUUAAAGGUUUUGCUUUACUUACUGAUGUGUAAUCUGACUUUAGUGUGAAUUAAAUUGUAAAGGAUUUGAUUUAUAAAUAAAGUCUUAAGUUGCUCAAAUAA
RNA transcript from Hypanus sabinus (Atlantic stingray), 6718 nucleotides. It is a transcript of the gene named far upstream element (FUSE) binding protein 1, with no coding region annotated. NCBI's taxonomy places the organism in Eukaryota, Metazoa, Chordata, Chondrichthyes, Myliobatiformes, Dasyatidae. The record is from RefSeq and is a predicted model, not a curated record. The transcript has 22 exons.